This 559-nucleotide non-coding RNA is filed under the name Pan troglodytes (chimpanzee). The record is from RNAcentral. Lineage: Eukaryota; Metazoa; Chordata; Mammalia; Primates; Hominidae.
AACUCUCCUUCCUCUCCCUCCUUCCAGGGUUGCCGUGCAGGGAGUGUCAGCCACGUCUAGCGCACAGUCCCAGGCCCCAGGGCGAAGACGGCCAGGGGAAAUGGGGCUCAGGGCUUGCUAAGCAAACGCAUCACUGGUGGUCUCCAGCGCCUGCGGAGCAUCAAGCUUAUGAAGAUUUCCAAGUAAGACUUUAUUGUUGACCCUUGUUGAAGAGAACUCUACUUGGCUUCUUUCCUGGCUUUCCUAAAUUGUUCACAUACAAGAUAAACUACCGUCAUUCAGACUUACAGAAGUGAGAAGACAAGCUGAACCAAAUGUAAAAUGGUAGCAAUUUACAGACAGUGUCUCCUUCUGUCGUCCAGGCUGAAGUGCAGCAGCGCGAUCUUGGCUCACUGCAACCUCCACUUCCCCAGCUCGAGCGAUUCUCCUGCCUCAGCCGCUGGAGUAGCUGGGACUACUAGGCGCGGGCAACCACACUUAGAGAAUUUUUGUAUGUUUUGUAGAGAUGAAGUUUCGUCAUGUUGUCCAAGCUAGUGGGAGCUAAAAUGGUACAAUCUUU